This 418-nucleotide ribosomal RNA is filed under the name Antheraea pernyi (Chinese oak silkmoth). RNAcentral's name for it is "partial 16S rRNA". Lineage: Eukaryota; Metazoa; Arthropoda; Insecta; Lepidoptera; Saturniidae. The record is from RNAcentral. RNAcentral also lists the same sequence under 1 other name.
UUACGCUGUUAUCCUAAGGUAAUUUUUUCUUUUAAUCAAUAAAAUUGGAUCAUUUAAUCACUUAUCUAUGGCUAUUAUUAAAAAAAGUUUAUUUUAUUUUUUUAUCACCCCAACAAAAUAUUAAAUAAAAUUUAUAAAUAAAUAAAUUUAUAAAUAAUUUAAAUUUAAUUUAAUAUUAAACUAUAGGGUCUUCUCGUCUUUUUAAUCUAUUUUAACUUUUUAAUUAAAAAUUAAAUUCAAUUAAUUAUCUUUGAGACAGUUUAUAUUUCAUCCAAUCUUUCAUACAAGUCACUAAUUAAGAGAGUAAUGAUUAUGCUACCUUUGUACAGUCAAAAUACUGCAGCCCUUCAAUAUUUUAUCAGUGGGCAGAUUAGACUUUAAAUUAUUCUCAAAAAGACAUGUUUUUGUUAAACAGGUG